UACGUAGGGUGCGAGCGUUGUCCGGAAUUAUUGGGCGUAAAGAGCUUGUAGGUGGUUUGUCGCGUCUGCUGUGAAAAUCCGAGGCUCAACCUCGGACUUGCAGUGGGUACGGGCAGACUAGAGUGUGGUAGGGGAGACUGGAAUUCCUGGUGUAGCGGUGGGAAUGCGCAGAUAUCAGGAGGAACACCGGUGGCGAAGGCGGCGACCUGGGUAGAUACUG
RNAcentral lists this ribosomal RNA (220 nucleotides) under uncultured bacterium. Its description in RNAcentral is "partial 16S ribosomal RNA". It matches the Rfam family "Bacterial small subunit ribosomal RNA", at positions 524 to 742 of the family's 1533-position model. The record is from RNAcentral.